Molecule: long non-coding RNA, 1185 nt
Organism: Acyrthosiphon pisum (pea aphid)
Lineage: Eukaryota; Metazoa; Arthropoda; Insecta; Hemiptera; Aphididae
Exons: 2
Source: RefSeq, a predicted model, not a curated record
AUUACGCAAUUUAUAUUUGUACUGUAUAUAUUUAAAUGUCAUAAUUAUAACCACCCUAAAAAAUGUAUAAUUAUGGCCAUGUUAGUCGUGCUAUGCUUGUCUAUUGAUGACUGAUAAAUCUGCCCAUAGUGAAUAUAAUUCGUAUAUACGCCACUGUGAGGGAGCGUAAAUAUAUACCUAAUGCGUAUAUUAUAUGUGUAUGUUUAUUGAAUCAACCCACAUUCAGUACGGUCCACCAUUUAUUAGUUAUCCCGUGUUUUUAUUUAAGUCUGAAUAUUAUAUAUUACAAAUUGCACACAAAUUUAUUUUGCACUGCGUACCCACAGUGCUUAUUAUAAGUUGAAUAUCAUAUAAACGUCAUUGACGGUUUUUGCUUAAUGUUAAUGAUUGUUAUAUAAUAUGAAAUGUAUUAAGUUUACAAUAUUGUUAUGUAUGUUAUAUAUUAUGAUUUGUUACGUGUAACACAUGUACAAGUGGAUAGAUAUGUAUAUAAUUUAAUUAGUUUUACAAUUAUUAUUUUAAUAUUUAGUUUAAAUAGUUGUAUCGUAUACCUUUGGGAGAUAAUUAUAUAAUAUUAAGUAUCCGAUUCAUGUAGGUAUAAGUGACCAAAGUCGAUACAUAAAAGCUUUAAUUUUUGGUAGUUUUUUUUUUUGUAGUGACUUAUGGCUAAAGUUAAAGAAAUUAAUGUAGACAUGUAGUAACUAGUACUAUAGUUAAUUAAAAAUAGGUAAAUAUUAUAUUUUAUUUGGUAUUGCCUAUAUGCUGUUACAGAGGUGAUAUAUUUGUUAUUGUUAAUUUUUACAAUAUAAGGUAUAACGUAAUACAUAAUAUACUUAUAUAAAAUAUUAAUAAGUAUGAUAUUCCGUUAUGAUUCAUAAUUAAAUAUAGUUCAAUAUGUUAUUAAAAGCUUACUGUGGUUUUUAAAUAAUAAAAUGUAUUAAUUUCUAAUGUGGUGAAUGUUUUUGGUAAAAUAAAAUAAAAUAAGUAUAUUAUUGUAAGAUGUAAUAUUACAUCUAGUUGAUUAAGUUUUAUUUAAAGGUCGAUGUCUAAUAUGUUUAUAAAAUUAAGAAUAAUCAAAAAGAUUUAAUGAUUUCAUUUUUUGUUUAAUAUUUUUAUGAUAUUUUGAAUUUAAAUAUAUUGUAGUCAUUUGUAAAGGUUUAAUAAAAUAGUAAUUCUAGUUGUGUG